GAAAUCGAGCAGUUCUCGCAAGAAGUUAUUGUACUGACUGUAUCGUGCGUGUUUCUCAGGCACGUCAUUUUAGAAUUCAUUUAAUAGCACGUUCCUUCGAGAAGGAUCAAUCCAUUAGAUAUCUCUUCGUACAUUUUUGGAUAAUUUUAAAGAAAUUACACUCGAAAUGUUAAUGCAAUGUACAAAAGUUACUGAAGAAAAAAUGGAGGCUUAAUUAUGACGGAUGGAAUUAAAUAACAUUAAUGUUGAUAAUACUAUAGUAAUGGCGACGAUAGACGAUAGACGAUAGACGACGUUCGAGAAUGACAACGUAUUACGUAAUUCUACGAUAUUUUUAUUCCCUUGAUCAGAGAACACCGGAGCGAGCAGGCGUACAAAGAAUUUGUUCGCUGCUCAGGAUCGUAUGCUGAAUAUCUUAUAAUUUGAGAAAUUAUUCCACAGGAUGUUUUAUUCAACAUUUAAAUGAAAUAAAUCAUUCAAUAUGCAUACAUAAAUUUAUUUAUUACAACAAUUUUAUAACCCUGUUAAGUAUAAUUGUUUCUUAUAUAUAUUAUUAUAUACAACGGCUAAGGAAAUUAUGGCCGAAUAGAAAUGUAAGAUGGGACAUACGUAACUUAACAUAAAGCCGAAUUUACACUCUUU
This is a long non-coding RNA of Bombus impatiens (common eastern bumble bee), 642 nucleotides long. RefSeq lists it as uncharacterized. The transcript is spliced from 3 exons. The record is from RefSeq and is a predicted model, not a curated record. NCBI's taxonomy places the organism in Eukaryota, Metazoa, Arthropoda, Insecta, Hymenoptera, Apidae.